UCAUAAUAGCGCGUCGCUUCGUUCAUGUUGCCGGAAGUCCUCAUUCAGCGACAGCCGUGCUUUCAAUCGCUCCGCAUGCAGGCAUGACGUUACCGACAUGAAUGUUCUUACAGAUGAUAAGAUCUUGACUAUAGCGGUUUUGCUGGCAGCUGCAUGGACAUCCCAAGCUGACCUUCUCGUAGGGGAACCCGCCUGCAGAGGCUGGUAUCAGAUUUGCGGCGGCCAUUACGACUUUCCAUGCUGCAGAUCGCUGCAGUGCUGGAACCGACGAUGCAUCUUCCGGAACGAAGACCGGCAAGGAUACGACUACUACAGUGACGACGGUGUCUUUCCGCCUGGGGACUACAUGCGCUAUCGCCCGAUAUACCCAGUCAACUUCCGCCCUUGAUGUAUCAACGUCACACAAUAAUUGGCCGAGAAUAGCAACGUGUAUAUGGUGCAGACUGUGCUGACAUGAUUAAUUUCCUGUCUGUGUAACGCGCAGACGGAUUUUUGGCACACGUAAGGUGCAUGCAUGGAUUACGAAAGUAGUUCGUGUUGUCAGACAUCGUAUUUGAAAAAAAUCGUCUGCUAUAGAGGUUAUAUCGUAUUCAAGAGCUGUGCCCUGGGUAAACAAGGUAAUGGGUAACGCAAGAGCAUCGUUCUCAGACCAGGACGACCUAAUAACCCGGGAAAAGUGAAACGGAAAAUAUGUGAUAUCGCUUUCGAACAUCUACGAUAUGUGACAAUAAAGUUGUUUUGCCUCCAGAUAAAAUCUUGUCAAAGGAAUAUGUCUGAAAUUGAACGCGGCGUUCACAAUGUGGCGAAGCCUUUCUACACGAACACUUGAUCCAAGGUAAAUCGAAUUUUUCAAAAUAAAGUACAGCCCACGGA
Ornithodoros turicata is the source of this 873-nucleotide long non-coding RNA. RefSeq lists it as uncharacterized. The record is from RefSeq and is a predicted model, not a curated record. Lineage: Eukaryota; Metazoa; Arthropoda; Arachnida; Ixodida; Argasidae. The transcript is spliced from 3 exons.